Long non-coding RNA from Acinonyx jubatus (cheetah), 7015 nucleotides. RefSeq lists it as uncharacterized. NCBI's taxonomy places the organism in Eukaryota, Metazoa, Chordata, Mammalia, Carnivora, Felidae. The transcript has 2 exons. The record is from RefSeq and is a predicted model, not a curated record.
UCCAGGUUGGGAGGUACUCGUACUGGGCCAUAUACAACAGGUGGCACUGAGAAAUGUGAUCAGGAGUGAGGGAAUAAGAAAGUGUGUCAGCAGUUUGGAGGCUCCAGCUGCCACACUCAGGUUUACAGGCAGACUUCCAAGCUCUGGAAAGAGGAAAGAAUGGAACGGAAAGCAAGAAGCAGGGCCCCCACCCCAAAGGGACCGGGCAGAUUUCCAAGCCGGGAGUCAGACCUGCAACACGGGGCCUUCCCAGCAGUGGGAGUGGCUAGUUGCUCCAUUCCAGAGCGCUGAGCGGAGCUCUUCUCGUUCCUUCUGCAGAAGGUCAUGACUGCCCUUGGAUGUCGGGUCUGCAGGUGGGAGCGAAGAGGCCCAGCUGUGCAGAGGGGAGGAUGGAGAUGCUGGAGAGAGGGCAGGGUCCAUUGCUGGCUAAGGAGUUGGGGCUUUAUUUGGCAGGCAAAAGGUAAAAAAUGGGAAAAAUUAAAACAAGGGAGUAUCUUCAUGAGAGCUGUAUUUGAGGAAGAUUAGUUUGAUGCUAGUGUGUAAAAUGGACUAAAGUUAAGUGAGUCCUUACCUGUAACAGAUUUCUUCUCUUCCUCUUCCCAAAUACACUUCUGUCCACACCCCUAACACUGUAGGUUAAAUAAACUAUAAUGUGAAAAUUAGCAUAAUUAAGUUAAUUAAUAAAAUACUAAUUUCACCUGUUUCUUUUUACGUUUUUAAUGUGGUCUCUAGAAAAGUUAAAAUUAUGUAAGUGGUUCACAUUGUAUUUCUAUGGGGGUGAUGUCCCUCGAAUCCUUUCUCCCUAUCACAGUCAGAUCUUUUUAAAAUACAAAUCUCUUGGGGCGCCUGCGUGGCUCAGUUGGUUAAGGGUCCAACUUGGGCUCAGGUCAUGAUCUCACGGUUGGUGAGUUUGAGCCCCGCAUCGGGUUCUGUACUGACAGCUCGGAGCCUGGAGCCUGCUUUAGAUUCCGUGUCUCUCAUUCUCUGCCCCUCUCCCGUUCACGCUCUGUCUGUCUCUGUCAAAAAUAAACAAAAACAUUAAAAAAUAAAUAAAAACAAAAUACGAGUCUCUCAUGUAACGCUGCUGUGUGGAACCCUUCGAUGGUCUCCACUGCCCCAGGAUCAAGUCCAGACUCUUCAACAUGGCUCCCAAGCUCUCCUAAUCUGACGUUGACCUUGCCUCUUAACUACCCUUCUCCACUGUACUCAUCCUUCCAGCAGAUCAAACCAUACUCAGUUUCGUCUGUGAAAUUGCUUUGUUAUUCUCAACAUUCAUGCCAUUCUUCUUCCUGAACUGAGCAUUUUUCUCCUUUCUCAUCAGCUGACUUUUGCUUCCUUUCCAUUAAAGUCUCAGUUUUAGAUAUCCCUGACUCCGUGACUCUAGAACAGGCAUCUCUACUUGAUGCCAGGGGCCCUGCCAUGUGCCUGCUCCAUUAUAGCCUUCUCACAUUCUUGGUAAGGUCUUAUUUACCUGUCUCUCUCCUCCCUAGACUGUAAGUUCUUUGAAAGCAGAGACUCUGUGUUGAUCCCCACGGCAUGUCCAACACUUAGCUCAGUACCUGGGGCAUAGCGGCUGCCUGCAUGGUUGUAUGAAUGAACAAAUGGGGCCAUCAUGCCAGGCAGUACAAUCCUGAAUCAGGAUAGUGGCACUGGGAAUGAAAAAGAUUAGACGCUCAUGAAAGAGCUGGGAAGGACAGAAUUCUUAGUACCGGAAACAGUGUGAAUGUACCUACCUCUGAUUACUAAUGGGUAUGAGGAACUAUUGUACUUUAUAAGGUGCCAAAAGUCCUAAAUAAUGGAAGCAACAGCAAAGAGGCAAACAAAUGUUCUAAGAAAAAAGACAUAUUUUUAUGUUAUUUUGUUACUUUCUGUUAUUUAAAAAAAUUUUAAUUCCAGUGUAGUUAACAUAUAGUGUGAGUUUCAGGUGUGCAGCAUAGUGAUUCAUCAGUUCUAUAGGUUAUUCAGUGCUCAUCACGGUAAGUGUAACGUGUACUCUUUUGAAAAUCGCAUGAUGUUUGGAGUCAAAAGACUUGGGCCGAAGACAUGACUCUUGCAUUUCCAUUGUCUCCGUAGUCUUGACAUUUCAGUUUCUUAGGUUAUAAAAUGGCGAUAGUACUUCUACUUCUGGGUUUGUUGUGAAGAUAAGGAAACUGAUUCGUGUAAAAUCACUCUGCAAAUUGUAGAGAUGGAAAGCGCUAGCCAGUUAUCAACACCAAAACACUGAUGGCUUCAAAUUGGUGAUAUUCAUGCCAUGGUGACUAAACCGUACAUAAUCUCGACCUACCCCAAGGCAUGUAAACCUCAAAUAAACGACCCUAGCACAGAGAGGCUUGGAUAGUCCACGCUAGAUGAAGUUACCUAUUUCUGUCAGUACGACUUAGGGAAUGCUGUGGGGAGACAGUGAGCAAGGGGUGCAGUGGGCACACGUGCCCAGGUGGUGUGGCUGGGCUGGGCUGGGUGGCCUCCUUGUCUCUGCCUGCUCUGUGAUGAACUCACAUUUGACUUCUAAGCUUGGGGUCAAACCUUUCCCCCUGCUCGGAUUGUUCUCUUCGCUUCUGCCCUGCUUCCCUAAACCCCUUCCCCGCCAUCUGGGAAUUUCAUUCAUACUUAAAGUUUUCAGGAGGCUCACAAUCUUUAGUAUCUAAAGUUGCUCUUUCUUCCCUUAAAAGAGAGCCCACUGUCUGGUCUUCUCUCCCAUUCCCUGAUCGGAUAUAGCGCUAACACUGAGUAUUUCCAAGGUGGGGCUUGAAAGAUGCCCUUCCAUCCAGCCUGUAUUCUUGCCCCCAGAUAUGUGCCAGACUUUUACCUGGGGUGUGCUAGGAUGGCCGUUCUAAGUGGGACAAACUGUAACGCUAGCAUUCUGACUUGGAAUUUAGUCUGGAUGGUUCCACAGAAGUCCGUAAUCAGACCCUCCCCUCUCGCCUGCUUACUUUGUUUGUUUGCUUGUUUGCCUCCCUUACUUUAGAUCCAGGGCCAGUAUGUGCAAUUCAGUGCUUUACACAUAGGAUGUGCUCUAUUAAAGUCAUUAAAAUAGUUAUUUAUUUACCUGACCCUUCAUGGAGGAUCAUUUGAGGGAUUAUGGGAUUACAUAAAAUAAAACAAAAGCAUGCCUCGUGUUUCCAAGGGACAUGCAUCCAGUUGGUACAUUAUGCUAGUAAGAUGAAUUACUGCUCUCAAAGUGAAGAUACAGCAGGCACUGCUUCUUUAUAAGGAAAAACGAACAGCCUAUUUGGCAUGUUUUGCGACCUAGUGUUUGAUCUGUGAUUCCUCUAAGUCUAGGGCCUUCCCCAAUUCUGUUCCUUCUGCCUGGAUUGGUCUCUCCUCUGCCUGCACCCCCUUCUUCUACUACUUCUAAUUCUAUCUCGGCUUUCAGGUCUCACCUUAGAGAUCAUUUUCUCUGAGGACAAUUCCCUGAGUCCUAUAGGCACAGGCCUAAGAAGGUACAGAAGGCCUUACAAUGAGUUCUAUGUCCUGGAAAGAGAUUAAAUUCACUGUGGGUGUAGGUUCCAAGGAUUCCAGGACAAAAUUGGACCUCCCAGAAUUUCAUCAUGACAGUGAACCAUGUGGACCAGGGCCUCAUCCUCGACGGUGAAACGUGCCCUUCUGUUAUUUCGGAGAGAAGUCAUCUUCUGUGAUUAAAGUUCAAGAUGAAGGCCAACCUACCAGUUCUUCCUCCUACAACACACAUACACCACCUAAUAUUCCACCUUGCCCUACAUCCACCCCAAACUCCUCAUUCUGCAACACACACAGGCAUGUACACGUACACGCACAUUAUCUUUGAGGGAAAACCAGGGUAGGAGUGAGGGCUAUGGGCAGCUUUCUAGAGCAGCAGCUAUUUGCCUAUCUAGAAAAUCCUGAAUAAACCAAGGUAAUAACUCCACCCCCUCUCCUGCCCCAAAUGAAACACAUUUUCGUCCUGUAGACCUCACUUCAUGUCUUAUACAAAGCAGAAUCAGUAUGGGUUAGCCUGAAUUGACUCUUCCAGCUUAACACGAAAGUAAUAAGAACCAAAGAUGUGCCUAAAUUUGUUCCUGGCAAAGGCAAUCUGUGAGAUAUUUUCUGAUUUUUAAAAAGACAUUAUCUAAUUGAUAUACAAUCCACAAUCAACUCUCUAAAGCGGUAAAAUUCACUUUUCUUUGUGUUUUUGUGUGUUUCUGUGUGAGUAGUUCCUCUACUUGCAGCAUAUUGGUUAAUUGUUGUUAAAAGUCAUAUUUCUGUUAUAUAUGGUUUUCUUUUCUUUCCACCUUCUCAAAAGUUCUCCUUUAAGGCAGAAACUUUCCAUUCUUGGUUUUGUCCAAAAGACAAAUAUUUCUGGGAAAACACUGCAUUUAAGCUAUUCAGCAAUCCUGGUGUUAUGUAACUGACCACAGUAAGACUUUCAAUUAACUUUGGUUACAUUUUAUUGAAGAGUGUCACAGAAUAGAAUAACCGGUGAUAAGGUUUUUAAAAAAAAAUUGUAUGUUUUUACACAGGGAAAACCCUCUUAAAAAUAUGUAUAGCUUCUUGCGAUAAUGACAGAAGAUAAACUGCUUAUCAUUUGAAGUAUUCUACAGUCCACUGACUGUAUUCCAAGUCUGACUUUCAUGUAUUUGAGAAGUUUUAGUCACAAUGAGCUUCCCUUCAGCGUUAGUUUCCAUAACUCAAGCUCUACUUGUUUUUUCUUUCCCUCUUGCUCUUCUCUCUGGUUAUUUUUGUUUGGUGUUCAGUUGUGGGUGCAUCUUGACACUGUUUAGAUUCUGCUUCUCCACUGAGGAGGAAUCAUGUGAAGUCAUGCUUUCAGACAACUUCCUGUAUACAUUACUAACUUGCAACUACUUUCUUCAUUUCUAGUCUUUAUCUUUCCUUCCUAUCACUCUUCAAUAUCUUAUUUUUCUUUCCCCGCAGAUCUGAACUGGUAACAUUUUUUUUUCCCCAAAGCAGAAAGUCCUUCCCAUUUUCUCUUUAUUUUAAUGUCCCCUCGACAAUCCCAGUGUGCCAUUCUUAAAGCCUUGCAGGUCUGUUCUUUCCCCUCUCAUUUCAUUGCAACACGCUGCCUAUCAUUAAGCUGCAACAUUCAUUUUUCCAAAACGUCAACCCUGAUUCAUUUCUUUAGUUCAAAGCCCUGGCCUCAGCCUCGGUGUUAGCUGUUUGGCAUGUACUUUACCUUAUUGCUUCCUAUCACAUCGCUCUACCUCCGAGCUGUCUCCCCACCAAUCCCCGACUCACCUGUGGACAAGUAUUACAAUCGCCUUGUUCACCCUCUGUUGUAUCAUUUCGAUAUUCUCUUACAAAAAAUGCAAGAAUCUCUGCCACCUGGGUACUUUAUCCAAACCUCAUGUCCCUUGACUGUCUGAGUCUCUUCUCCAACCAAAUACCAUCCUUUGACCUGCCAUCUCUCCUACUGAAAGUCCUCCACUUCUUCCUCCUAGUUCAUGUUUCUCUUUGUCUUCAAAGUGGUGGUUAACACAAUCUCAAUAAAAACUAUAAUUAUCUGUGAGUCCUUUAUGAAUGAGUGCCUCCUGAUCGAGGUUGUUGGUGUCCUCUCAGUGACACAUCGCUCAGUGGACCCUGUUCUCUUAAUCUGUACUUGCUGAUCUGUGGCUCUAUGGGUAAUUUUUCAUUUUAUCCUUUUAUGUCUUUUCUCUGCUUUCAGAGUAUAAACAACCUUAAGGUAGAGACAAUAUCUGAGAUUUAUUUAUAUCACUCAGCAGCAAUUACAAAGCACUUACUGAAUGUACAGCGUGGCUUUAUGUGUCUGUAUCUAGCAAUUGGUCAUAGUUAUUUACAUCUAUUUACCUAUCAUGUGCUAGGUGCUGUGGGAGGUACUAGAAAACAAUGAUGAGAAAGAAUUUAAUUACCUCUGCCUUCAUGGAGUUUGGGGGAAACAGAUAUUUAUCAAAAGAUCAUACAAUGAAAUGUAAAAUUAUGGCUGUGGUGACAAAGAGAGGAACAUGGUGCCAUGAGAGCACAUAAUAGGGGCAAUUUAACCCAGUUGGGAGAGCUUUGAGAAGAGGGAGGGAUGUCCCCAAAAGGAGAAUCACAUGUGUAAAGCCUCUGUCAUGGACCGGGACCAGAUAUAGUCAAGAUAUUGAAAGGUGGCUGGAUUGCUGGAGCCCAGAGCAUGUAUGUAAAGUACAUGGGAGGAGUCAGGAGAGGUAGGCAGGGGCCAGCCUAGGCAAGACCUUGUGGAAUAUGAAAAGGAUUUCGGUUUUUAUCCUUAAUAAUGGGGAGCUAUCAGAGGGAUUUAAGAAUAGGAGGGGAUGUUAUGGCGAUUUGAAAAUAUCACUAUGUGGAGGUAGAAGGAGGUGGGCAAGAAUACCAGGCACAGUAUCUUUCUGUGCUGUGUAGCAGCUCAGUAAAUGGUACUCAAUGACUGAACAGUUUGUGGGGGCUUUGAGUUCUUUCUAGGUUCACUGCAUCAUGAAGUUUUAGCUUCAAACUGCAAAAUCUUGAGUUACUUGAUGUAUGGGUCUGAGUUGUAAUAUAAUCAGUCUCCUUUAGCUUUUGCAAAUUGUUGAUCUGAUGAAUAACAAUGGACAAUGUUAGCUCAGAAUUUACCUCCAUGCUGGAUACUGUGCUAAAGCCUUGAUGUGUAUUAUCUCAUUUACUUCUCAGUAUGGGCCAGUGAGGAAAGUGUUUUGUAUCCCUAUUUUGUAUGGAUUUAGAGAUGUUAAAGACCUUGCUUCAGAGAGGAGUGAUGGAUCUAGGACUCAAAUCUAGGUGUUUCUGACUGCAGCCCUCACUCUUAGCCACUAUGUUACAGCAGUUCUAGUUCAUUCGAGCUUUCAGUACUAUUCCAUUACCUUUAUUACAGAAAAAGGAUGUUCCUUUAGCUCUGAAACAAGGUACGAUUAGGCUAAUUGCCCAGAAGCUCCUUCCGGAAUCUUGGUCAAAGCCCUACAUGGCAUCAGGUCCCCCAUUCUCCACUUUGCAGGAUGUUUGAUUAUAUAUCACACAGACCUGGCGUUAUGUCUGAGCUGACUGUUGCAUGUUUUGAUCUUUUCAACCACGUGAAUAAACCUCCGUUGUCCUU